UAGGGAAUAUUGCGUAAUGGGCGAAAGCCUGACGCAGCAACGCCGUGUGUAGGAUGAAGCAUCUAGGUGCGUAAACUACUGUCAGCAGGGAAUAAAUUGACUGUACCUGCAGAGGAAGCACCGGCUAACUACGUGCCAGCAGCCGCGGUAAUACGUAGGGACCAAGCGUUGUUCGGAUUUACUGGGCGUAAAGGGCGCGUAGGCGGCAAUUCAAGUCAUCUGUGAAAUCUCCGGGCUUAACUCGGAACGGUCAGAUGAUACUGCUUUGCUAGAGUGCAGAAGGGGCAAUCGGAAUUCUUGGUGUAGCGGUGAAAUGCGUAGAUAUCAAGAGGAACACCUGAGGUGAAGACGGGUUGCUGGGCUGACACUGACGCUGAGGCGCGAAAGCCAGGGGAGCAAACGGGAUUAGAUACCCCAGUAGUCCCUGAGCGGGCUGGCAAGGCGCAU
Molecule: ribosomal RNA, 447 nt
Filed under: uncultured bacterium
Lineage: Bacteria
Description: bacterial SSU rRNA
Rfam family: Bacterial small subunit ribosomal RNA
Source: RNAcentral